GGAGAGGAGGGAUGUGUUGCAGCAGAGUGGAUCGCUUACUCAAGACUUGCAGGAGUUGGUGACUGGGUGUUACCUGGGCGUUACCGGCACCACUUAUACCAAUGGCAAGACACUGCUGGGAAUCUUAGCAACCAUCAAGACUCACCACCCACAAGCACCAGCAUUAUCUCCAAUACCAAGAUACAUCCAUGUGUGAAAGGUUGUCAUCACAGGAGGAGGAAUCAUCAACAGAAGAGGUGCCGCCCACAGAACCCUGGAGGCGGAUCAACUGUGUCCCAUCUGUCCUUACUUCCUGCCCACGUCCGUCGAGGUCACCACA
Long non-coding RNA from Eriocheir sinensis (Chinese mitten crab), 319 nucleotides. RefSeq lists it as uncharacterized. The transcript is spliced from 3 exons. The record is from RefSeq and is a predicted model, not a curated record. NCBI's taxonomy places the organism in Eukaryota, Metazoa, Arthropoda, Malacostraca, Decapoda, Varunidae.